This 268-nucleotide ribosomal RNA is filed under the name uncultured bacterium. RNAcentral describes it as "partial 16S ribosomal RNA". It matches the Rfam family "Bacterial small subunit ribosomal RNA", at positions 793 to 1055 of the family's 1533-position model. The record is from RNAcentral.
GUCCACGCUGUAAACGAUGAGCACUAGGUGUGGGGGGUUCAGUCCCCUCCGUGCCGCAGCUAACGCAUUAAGUGCUCCGCCUGGGGAGUACGGCCGCAAGGUUGAAACUCAAAGGAAUUGACGGGGGCCCGCACAAGCGGUGGAGCAUGUGGUUCAAUUCGAUGCAGAGCGAAGAACCUUACCUGGGCUUGACAUGCAGGAAGUAGAAACCGGAAACGGCGACGACCUGUUGAGUCAGGAACCUGCACAGGUGGUGCAUGGCUGUCGU